AGGGUUUUGGUAUUAAAAACAUAAAGGCAUAGUCUAGAGAUUUAAAUGCAUGUGACUCCUGUUGAGACUAAAUGUCAUUUGUUUGGAUAAGAAGUGAAGAGUGUAAGUGCUUUAAAUAGUCAGUGAAAACACAUGACAUGACUUAGCAUGGUCUGAUGUCUAAAAUCACCUCCCUCAGGUCUGUGGGAGUGUUUAACCACCAGCAUGACUAAAUAUGGGGCCAAACACUGAUGUCUGCACUCUGGAACAGGGGAGAACCCUGAUGAGGUCUGGAGAAGCUGCUGCACUCCACAGCUCAGGCUCCUGCUUCAGUUCACUGUGGGCUUGUAUGUGGUUGGGCCUCCCUCAUCUAAUCAGGAGUUGCCAUGCUCUUACCAGUCCCUGCUGUUCUGGGGAACAUCAGACUAGGUGUUUCCCUGUGGUAGGACUGGAUGCUGCAUGCUUGCUCCAAUUCCUUGAUAGGACAGAUGGAGAAAACAAGCCUGCUGCCUCUAGCCAGAAGCCUCUCCAUGGGCAGAAUGAUUCUCCUUUCUCAUCAGUCACCACAAUGAAAUAUUAAGAAUGUAUUUUACUCUGCAAAAAGUGUUUGUUGCACUAAUACAUUAUCAAGAUAUGUGAACAGUUCUAGAAUGUGAAAAAGUGCAUUAUUCUCUCUGGGAGCCAAAUAUAUACUUCAGCAAAGGUGGAUGUCUGGCCAUUCGGAUAUUCUGCAAGAUAUAUAUUAUCUGCAUCGCUCCUAUGGCAGAGUGAAAAAUGUUUAAUAUAAGUUUUUCAAGGCAUGAAAACAGUUCGGAAUUCAUCUUCCUGUGAAUAUAUGUUUGAAGGGAGCAUUUAAUAAAAGUGAAAAUCUAGAUUUCUUCUGAAAGCCU
RNAcentral lists this long non-coding RNA (869 nucleotides) under Numida meleagris (helmeted guineafowl). RNAcentral's name for it is "lncRNA (ENSNMEG00000021027.1)". Lineage: Eukaryota; Metazoa; Chordata; Aves; Galliformes; Numididae. The record is from RNAcentral.